AAGUGNAGGGUUGUAACCCCUUUCAUAAAGGUUAAAGUCCUUUUUUUAUCA
This 51-nucleotide transfer RNA is filed under the name Andrias davidianus (Chinese giant salamander). RNAcentral's name for it is "partial tRNA-Tyr". It matches the Rfam family "tRNA", at positions 21 to 71 of the family's 71-position model. Rfam says of the family: Transfer RNA (tRNA) molecules are approximately 80 nucleotides in length. Their secondary structure includes four short double-helical elements and three loops (D, anti-codon, and T loops). Further hydrogen bonds mediate the characteristic L-shaped molecular structure. tRNAs have two regions of fundamental functional importance: the anti-codon, which is responsible for specific mRNA codon recognition, and the 3' end, to which the tRNAs corresponding amino acid is attached (by aminoacyl-tRNA synthetases). tRNAs cope with the degeneracy of the genetic code in two manners: having more than one tRNA (with a specific anti-codon) for a particular amino acid; and 'wobble' base-pairing, i.e. permitting non-standard base-pairing at the 3rd anti-codon position. The record is from RNAcentral. Lineage: Eukaryota; Metazoa; Chordata; Amphibia; Caudata; Cryptobranchidae.